GACGAACGCUGGCGGCGUGCUUAACACAUGCAAGUCGAACGGAAAGGCCCUGCACUUGUGGGGUGCUCGAGUGGCGAACGGGUGAGUAUCACGUGAGUAAACUGCCCUUGACUUUGGGAUAACUUCUGGAAACUGGGGCUCAUAUAGGAUAGGAGCUCUUGCUGCACGGUGGGGGAUGGUAAGUUUCGGCGGUUGGGGAUGGACUCGCGGCUUAUCAGCUUGUUGGUGGGGUAGUGGCUUACCAAGGCUUUGACGGGUAGCCGGCCUGAGAGGGUGACCGGCCACAAUGGGACUGAGAUACGGCCCAGACGCCUACGGGAGGCAGCAGUGGGGAAUAUGGCACAAUGGGCGGAAGCCGGAUGCAGCAACGCCGCGUGCGGGAUGACGGCCUUCGGGUUGUAAACCGCUUUCGCCUGUAACGAAGCGUGAGUGACGGUAAUGAGUAAAGAAGCACCGGCUAACUACGUG
This 468-nucleotide ribosomal RNA is filed under the name uncultured bacterium. RNAcentral's name for it is "partial 16S ribosomal RNA". It matches the Rfam family "Bacterial small subunit ribosomal RNA", at positions 28 to 507 of the family's 1533-position model. The record is from RNAcentral.